Molecule: ribosomal RNA, 381 nt
Filed under: uncultured Fusibacter sp.
Lineage: Bacteria; Bacillati; Bacillota; Clostridia; Eubacteriales; Fusibacteraceae
Description: bacterial SSU rRNA
Rfam family: Bacterial small subunit ribosomal RNA
Source: RNAcentral
GAAGGACUCCGCUUUCGGGUGGAGAGCGUACACAGGUGCUGCAUGGCUGUCGUCAGCUCGUGUCGUGAGAUGUUGGGUUAAGUCCCGCAACGAGCGCAACCCUUGUGUUUUAGUUGCAAACAGGUCAAGCUGUGCACUCUAGACAGACUGCCGUGGACAACACGGAGGAAGGUGGGGAUGACGUCAAAUCAUCAUGCCCCUUAUGAUCUGGGCUACACACGUGCUACAAUGGCCGGUACAACGGGCAGCGAAGGAGCGAUCCGGAGCGAAUCCUAAAAAGCCGGUCCCAGUUCGGAUUGCAGGCUGAAACUCGCCUACAUGAAGUUGGAGUUGCUAGUAAUCGCGAAUCAGAAUGUCGCGGUGAAUGCGUUCCCGGGUCUU